Molecule: ribosomal RNA, 796 nt
Filed under: uncultured bacterium
Lineage: Bacteria
Description: bacterial SSU rRNA
Rfam family: Bacterial small subunit ribosomal RNA
Source: RNAcentral
CAGUNNACGAGAGAGAGCUUGCUUCUCUUUUAGUGGCGAACGGGUNNNUAAUACAUAAGCAACCUACCCAUUUGACCGGGAUAACAGUUGGAAACGACUGCUAAUACCGGAUAGGUGACCGGGGGACAUCCCCUGAUCAUUAAAGCUGGGACACAGCACGAAUGGAUGGGCUUAUGGCGCAUUAGUUAGUUGGCGGGGUAACGGCCCACCAAGACGAUGAUGCGUAGCCGACCUGAGAGGGUGACCGGCCACACUGGGACUGAGACACGGCCCAGACUCCUACGGGAGGCAGCAGUAGGGAAUUUUCGGCAAUGGGCGCAAGCCUGACCGAGCAACGCCGCGUGAGUGAAGAAGGCCUUCGGGUUGUAAAGCUCUGUUGUAAGGGAAGAAUGGCCAAGAGAGGGAAUGCUCUUGGAGUGACGGUACCUUACCAGAAAGCCACGGCUAACUACGUGCCAGCAGCCGCGGUAAUACGUAGGUGGCAAGCGUUAUCCGGAAUUAUUGGGCGUAAAGGGAGCGUAGGCGGCUUGAUAAGUCUGAGGUGAAAGUUCGGGGCUCAACUCCGGAUUGCCUUAGAAACUGUCAGGCUAGAGUGCAGGAGAGGGCAAUGGAAUUCCAUGUGUAGCGGUAAAAUGCGUAGAUAUAUGGAGGAACACCAGUGGCGAAGGCGGUUGCCUGGCCUGUAACUGACGCUGAGGCUCGAAAGCGUGGGGAGCAAAUAGGAUUAGAUACCCUAGUAGUCCACGCUGUAAACGAUGAUUACUAAGUGUUGGAGCAAUUCAGUGCUGCAGUUAAC